AACGAACGCUGGCGGCAGGCUUAACACAUGCAAGUCGAACGAGAUCUUCGGAUCUAGUGGCAGACGGGUGAGGAACACGUGGGAACAUCCCUUUCAGUUCGGAAUAACGUUGGGAAACUAACGCUAAUACCGGAUACGUCCUUCGGGAGAAAGAUUUAUCGCUGAAAGAUUGGCCCGCGUCUGGUUAGCUAGUUGGUGAGGUAAUGGCUCACCAAGGCUACGAUCAGUAGCUGAUCUGAGAGGAUGAUCAGCCACAUUGGGACUGAGACACGGCCCAAACUCCUACGGGAGGCAGCAGUGGGGAAUAUUGGACAAUGGGCGCAAGCCUGAUCCAGCCAUGCCGCGUGAGUGAUGUCGGCCUUCGGGUUGUAAAGCUCUUUUGUCCGGGAAGAUAAUGACUGUACCGGAAGAAUAAGCCCCGGCAAACUUCGUGCCAGCCGCCGCAGUAA
Molecule: ribosomal RNA, 449 nt
Filed under: uncultured bacterium
Lineage: Bacteria
Description: partial 16S ribosomal RNA
Rfam family: Bacterial small subunit ribosomal RNA
Source: RNAcentral